AAAUGAUUGUAUGCAUGACAGUUCAAUCUUUUCCGAUCAUGUUUACACUUAAUGUGUUCAUAACAUUGCCAAAAGUAUUAUGGUUUAUUUUGGUAAGUGAGAAAUACACUGGUAAACCUUUAGUGACACUUUUCUGAACGUGUGUUUGGACUAUGCAAAUAAGUUCGUUCCACAGGAGGAAAGAAGGGUGAGCCACAGCGUGUCCCGCCACUCUGAUUGAGACAGCCAAUCACAGCCUGGGAAUGGAGAAGCGCCAGAUUGCAAUCUCCUCCUCAUCGAAAAGAGAUAAAUGUACCUUCCCAAAAGACACUCCUUACCCACGAAGAAUCAUCCAUUCCUUGAGAACUGAUGCUCCAGUGAAGACUCAGGCAACGCCCCCUCAGGUUAUAUCCACUAACGGGUAUACCCCUGUACUGCAGGAUAUGCUGAAUGUGUCAGCGCUGGACAGGUGUUUAAUGGAUUUGGGCUGAGCAGGGAGGCCUGGACAGUGCUGCUGGAUCUUCUGAAAAGGGCCACAAUCCAGUCCCUGGUGUUUCUUUUCUGCCUGCCGGUGCAUCAUUGUAAUGUCCCAAGACGUAUUUUAUUGUUGUUAAUACUGUGAAAUGCUGUGUGUAAUAAUUGUGCCUCCCUGAUGCCUAACAUCCUUUUGUGAAGUGUAGUUUUUGCCUGUUUUCCUCUGUUCCUCCCUGUCCUCUCACAGGAACUUAUUGAUGUCACCUGUUCCUCAUCAGAGCUGUGAAGAGGAGCUUGUAUUUAAACAGAGGGAAAGGACUGUUCAUCAUAGAGAGUUUGGACUUGUCUGUUUUCUCCGAUGGUGUUCUCUGAGUAAUGGUGCUGCUUUAAGAAAGCCUGUUGUAUUUGUUCACUAUUGUGUGCUCAGGGCCUUAGUGUUUCUUCAAGAAAGCCUGUUAUACUAGCUGUAGUGAUUGUGCUCAUUUUUCUUAAGUAGCAUAUGUUACUCCCCUUGUAACAUCAAACAGAGUGGUCUCCAUGUGCCUGGUUCCACUGUCGCCAUAUUGUCCUCUGAGGAGGUGCUGGCCGUUCACCAAGAGAUUCACCUCCUGAAGACCCCAGAAUAUA
This is a long non-coding RNA of Carassius carassius (crucian carp), 1080 nucleotides long. RefSeq lists it as uncharacterized. NCBI's taxonomy places the organism in Eukaryota, Metazoa, Chordata, Actinopteri, Cypriniformes, Cyprinidae. The transcript has 3 exons. The record is from RefSeq and is a predicted model, not a curated record.